Molecule: ribosomal RNA, 344 nt
Filed under: uncultured eukaryote
Lineage: Eukaryota
Description: SSU rRNA
Rfam family: Eukaryotic small subunit ribosomal RNA
Source: RNAcentral
AUAGCGUAUAUUAAAGUUGUUGCAGUUAAAAAGCUCGUAGUUGAACCUUGGCUCUGGCUGGCCGGUCCGCCUCACCGCGAGUACUGGUCCGGCUGGAGCUUUCCUUCUGGGGAACCUCAUGGCCUUCACUGGCUGUGGGGGGAACCAGGACUUUUACUGUGAAAAAAUUAGAGUGUUCAAAGCAGGCCUUUGCUCGAAUACAUUAGCAUGGAAUAAUAAAAUAGGACGUUGGUUCUAUUUUGUUGGUUUCUAGAAUCGCCGUAAUGAUUAAUAGGGAUAGUUGGGGGCAUUGGUAUUCAGUCGCUAGAGGUGAAAUUCUUGGAUUGACUGAAGACCAACUAUUG